UACGGCCAUACCACCCUGAACGCGCCCGAUCUCGUCUGAUCUCGGAAGCUAAGCAGGGUCGGGCCUGGUUAGUACUUGGAUGGAAGAAGCCCCUUUAGCAUUUCUUGUAAGGUCGGAU
Panthera pardus (leopard) is the source of this 118-nucleotide ribosomal RNA. NCBI's taxonomy places the organism in Eukaryota, Metazoa, Chordata, Mammalia, Carnivora, Felidae. The record is from Ensembl.